GAUGAAGAACGUAGUGAAAUGCGAUAAGUAAUGUGAAUUGCAGAAUUCAGUGAAUCAUCGAAUCUUUGAACGCACAUUGCGCCCGUUAGCAUUCUAGCGGGCAUGCCUGUCCGAGCGUCAUUUCAACCCUCAGGGUCCCCGUUCCGGCGGGGAACCUGGUGUUGGGGAUCGGCCCGCCCCGUGCGGCGCCGUCCCCCAAAUUCAGUGGCGGUCUCGCUGCAGCCUCCCCUGCGUAGUAGUUACAACCUCGCAUCGGAGCUCAGCGCGGCCACGCCGUAAAACCCCCGACUUUCUGAACGUUGACCUCGGAUCAGGUAGGAAUACCCGCUGAACUUAAGCAUAUCAAUAAGCGGAGGA
This 357-nucleotide unclassified non-coding RNA is filed under the name soil metagenome. Its description in RNAcentral is "partial contains 5.8S ribosomal RNA, internal transcribed spacer 2, and large subunit ribosomal RNA". The stretch from base 1 to 120 matches the Rfam family "5.8S ribosomal RNA", at positions 35 to 154 of the family's 154-position model. The record is from RNAcentral.